This 486-nucleotide ribosomal RNA is filed under the name uncultured ciliate. RNAcentral describes it as "SSU rRNA". It matches the Rfam family "Eukaryotic small subunit ribosomal RNA", at positions 472 to 981 of the family's 1831-position model. Lineage: Eukaryota; Ciliophora. The record is from RNAcentral.
AAGAAAUAACAACUUUCAACUUUGUUGAAAAGUGUAAUGAGGAUAAUUUACAAACCUUACCGAAAGCAAUUGGAGGGCAAGUCUGGUGCCAGCAGCCGCGGUAAUUCCAGCUCCAAAAGCGUAUAUUAAAGUUGUUGCAGUUAAAAAGCUCGUAGUUGAAGUUCUGGCUGUAUUGGGCCUUAGCACUUGAUGCGGAGGAACCAGCAGUCAUCCGCUUGCAAAUACAUGUCCUUCCUUAACCGGUAGGCUGUAUAAGUAAGCACUUUACCUUGAGAAAAACAGAGUGUUCCAGGCAGGUUUGUCCGGAAUGCGUUAGCAUGGAAUAAUAGAAUAUGACUGAAGUCGAUUUAUUGGUUUAAGGCUUUAGUAAUGAUUAAUAGGAACAAUCGGGGGCAUUGGUACUUGUCAGUCAGAGGUGAAAUUCUUGGAUUUAUUAAAGACUAACUUAUGCGAAGCAUUUGCAAGGAUGUUUCUUAUCAGACAAAG